GGAGGUCCACGUAUAAAAUUUGUCCGAACCCCCUAUCCCUCACUCAUCUCCCUCACAACCCCUCUCCUCAGACCCUAAAUGAUAGCCGCCCAGUGAUUCCCUCACCACCGGUGGCGGCGCCACCACAAAACAACCUCAAACUAACCCCAAUUAGUCCCUCCAUUCCCUCAGUCCAAGUCUGCAAUUACCUUCCCGCGAAACUCCUUGGAGUGUCUCAAAUCCAGAUUUAAAAGGGAAACCCUAACGCCGCCCUUGUGCUCUCCGGUGGCGGCGCCGUCUCUGUUCAACCCCAAAGUCACACCCCUUCUCCCCUUUCUCCCCCUCAUCCCAAAUCCCCAUUUGUUUUCCCUCGAAUACCUUUCAAAUGGCUCGAAUCUUGAAUCAAAGAAAAUCCCUAAUUCCAUGAUUUCAAAAUCGAUGGGUCUUUUGAGAUUUUGAAACUGUACUGGAUCUUAUGCAUGUGUUUUCACAUGAAAACACAAGUUUAAGGUCCACUUCGGUCGAAAAAUCAAGGGUUCGGAGAUGGUUCAAGUUUAUUUUGGCCCGUCCAAUCUAGGUACCUUUCAGCUUUUUUCUUCUUCUGUUUGUUUUUAUUGGCAUCUUAUCCACUACAUGUUUGAUAUUAUUUUUUUGUGUUUUCAUUAUCCAUUAACAUCUUCUAUUAAUUCUGUUGGCAUGAUUAACUUAUCAAUGAAUUUAGCCUAAUUAGUUUUGUUAAUCGGUUCUGUUCUUCUUCUGUUAUGGAUAGUUUCAUGUUUUUAAAGAAGAUUGUCGGGUUCUUCCUUUUUCUGUCGAGGAAAUUGGAUCAAGUUUUCUGUUUCAAGUGGGGAAUUUAUGAGAUCAAAAAGCCCAAAUUGAACAUUGAACUCUAGCCAGUUCAUUAAACCAUGAUUUGAUAUUGCUUGGGUCAAUUUGACCCAGUCUGGUUCGGAAAGGUAAAAAUACAGGGCCACUUAGGGGUAAAUUUGGUAGACUACUUAGAGAAUAUUUUAUUAAAUGCUUAAUGAAGCUCCUAGAAGCUUCUUGUAGGGGUUUGGCUUUUAAUUUUCAUACUAUGACUUGGUUAAUAAGUCAUAAAAUAAGGGACCAAAGAGAUAAAUGAAAUCUGUAGGUUGCCCUAGUGUUUAGCCUAUAAAAGCAAAAAAACUAAAGCAAAAGGAGGGAUCUUUUUUUUAAAAAAAAAAUACAAAAAUUGUAGUCUACUGUUGCAUUGAAUUCGAGUGAUUUGAAUGAUUAGGAUGUGGGUUUCAAGUUUUAUUUCAUUCCAUUCUGGGUUUAAAAACCCGAAUUCAAGUCUAUUGAGAAAUUUUGGGUUGAAGUUGCUUGAUCUUGGUUUAUUGUUCCACUGGAUGAACAGGCGCUGACUUUUACUUCUUAUAGCUGACCUCUCAUUUUGUCAUUUUUGCUUCUCAGGUAUUCCUCUAUUCAUGAGUAACAAGUGAAUGCUAGCUAUGUGAUUCGAUGGAAAUUUGAUAGAAUACAAGUUGCACUUAUUUAAUUUUCUGUUUUUUCUAUUGUGUUCCAUACGUUGUAGUAGUUCCCUAGCUAUAAUUGUCAAUCAAAAUUCUCCCUUCAUUAUUAGUGCAUUCUGAAUCUAUAUGUGAGGGGGGGAUAUUCUGAAUCUAUAUGCGUGAGUAGGAUUAAAAUCUGGGUUUGUAAUGAUAAAUGAACUAUGAACUUUGGCACAUCCAGUUUUAUUUUGGUUUAAUGGUGUGGAUUACUAACUUACAUAGAUCCUGUUUUGGUAAGCAUGUGUACUCAUGAGCUUCAAAUUUUAGACCUAUGUUCAUUCAUUAGGUAGUUGAUUUUAUAAUUAGGAAU
This 1821-nucleotide long non-coding RNA is filed under the name Nicotiana benthamiana. Its description in RNAcentral is "long non-coding RNA (NBEN_LNC009056)". The record is from RNAcentral. Lineage: Eukaryota; Viridiplantae; Streptophyta; Magnoliopsida; Solanales; Solanaceae.